AUCAUUUAGCUCGCACUUAUAAAUGACAACAUGCAGUAUUUGGUUUUCUGUUCCUGCGUUAGUUUGCUAAGGAUAAUGGCCAUUAUCUUAGCCAUUUGAAAAUAAUGAUUUAACCUCUCUCACCUUCAUUGUCAUUUUAGAAGAAACUACCAUUUGGUGUCCUGCUGAGACAAGAAAAUAUUUUCACAACUCAAGACAAGUUAAAUAUCCACUUAUGGGAACAGUGCUGAAGGCCUGGACUAGGAUGGUAGCAAUGGAGACAGACUAAAGGUCAGCAUAACAGUCAACAUUAAGGGGGUUGAAUCAACAGCACAUAGUACCUGAUUGGAAAUACAGAGUAAAUUACAGUGAGAAGUGAGUUGCUGUCCAGAUUUCUAUCUUGGAUAUGUAGACAGAUGAUGGUCAGCAAGCAAGAAAACAGGCAGAACAAUUUUAGAAACUAAGAAAAUGUAUUUCCAAUGGAACUAAUUAAAUCAGAGUCUGUAAAUAGCAUUGUAAGAUAUAGGAGGCUGAUAUGGUUUGGAUUUGUGUCCCUGCCUAAAUCUCAUGUCAAAUUAUAUCUCCAAUGUUGGAGAAGAGGCCUAGUGGGGGGUAAUUGGAUCAUGGAGCUGGAUUUUCCCUUUGCUGUUCUCAUGACAGUGGGUUCUCAUGAGAUCUGGUUGUUUAAAAGUGUGUAGCACCUCCCCCUUCUGUCUUUUCCUCCUGCUCUGACCAUGCAAGAUGUGACUGCUUCUCCUUUCACCAUGAUUGAAAGUUUCCUGAGGCGCCCCCAGCCAUGCUUUCUGUACAGCCCAUGGAACUGUCAGCCAAUUAAACCUCUUUUUAAAAUAAAUUACCCUGUUUCAGAUAUUUAUCAGUGCAUGAACGGACUAAUACAGAGGCAGAAGCACAUCUGCAGGCAGAAAUGGGGAAAAAAAUAAUAUCAGAAGAAAGGAUAAGAGGAAGAGCUUAAGAAUAAGUAUGUGCAAAUUUUAGUUGAUGCUGGACUGGGGAGAGGUGCUAAUGGAUUCAGAUCCUGGGGGAAUCUGGACAAGGAUAUGGUCCAGAGAUCAAUGGGAGGAGAAGAAAAUUAAUAAACUUGACUUAAGGACUAGCCUCUAAGUUGAGAAAUGUAAUGUUUAUGCUAAUAUUUUUACAGAAAAAGGUGUUAUCAUUCUCAGUUUUGCAACCUGAUUCAGAGAAGCUAAGCCAUAGACCCCAAGCCACAUGGACUACAUGGUGGCAUCUAUUUAAAUUCAUAUUUAUUUGUUCUUAGCACUUUUGUUGUGGUCGCUAUGCUACCUCUAAGUAGGACUUUGACUUCCUACAAAAUUCACUGUUACACAUCCAGGUAGAUGUGAAUACAUGCUGCAGUAAUGUCUGUCACCCAUAGUCACUGCAGGGGAAGUUGGCAUCACAGCACUGACGAUAUGCCUACUAUCUUUAGGUUAAAGUGGAUACGUUAUCAUUACCCUAUGCAAAAGAAUCUGAUCAUUGCCCUGAAGAUAAUUUUGUUAUCUCACAUUGCAUAUGUGAUCAUUACCCUGAGGGCAGAGAUGCAAUCAUUGGCCUAUAGGAAUACUUAUCAUUAUGGCUUGGCAAGUGGAAAAGUGAUAAUUAACUUGCACGAAUAGAUGGGAUCAUUGCACUACAGAUAGAUCUGUUAUUGCAUUUCCUGAAGAAAUGCAAUCUCUAGUGUGCAAAAGACAAUGUGUUAUCUACAUUUAUGGUAGAGAUAUGCUCCUUAUAUUGCCCAUAAUGAUGAUAUCAAUUGCAUUUCAGGUGGAAAUUAGGAUUGUUGCAUUGCUGAUAACCUUGUUAUAAUUACGUUACAGAAAGAGAUGCAAUCAUUCCCUUGCAUAUGGUCCGUAUGAAGACGGGAUCAUUACAGGAAAGGUGAAGGAGAUACAGUCAUUAUGCUCUAUAUACACCCAUUUUUAUGGCUAGCGGCUGAAGAUGGGAUGCUUUCUUUGCUGGAAGACCUAUUACCUGUUAGGUUGCAAAAGAUGUGAUCAUCUUCCUAAACAAUAAUUUAGAGUCCCAUAACAAUUUUAAGUGUGCUGUUCAUGAAAAUUUGAAUACAUUGUAUUGGGAAUAUAAUGGAAGUGAGAUGCCUCAUGUCGUGAGAAAAUCUGACAUAAACUCCUUAAGCAUGAGAGGCCAUGUGGGUAUGGAAGCCCUGAAAGGGAGGAAAAAACAGCCAGACCCUAGCUGUUCCAGUCAUCCCAACUGAGGUGCCAGACUUGUGAUUGAGGCCAUCUUGCAUCAUCUAGGCCUAGUAGAGCUGCCAACUGACUGCAGACACAUGAGUCAAUCCAGCUAAUGCCACAUGGAGCAGAGACAAGCCGCCCAGCUGAGCCCAGUCCAGAUGACAGAAUCAUGAGCAAAUAAGGUUGUUGUUCUUUUAAGCCACUAAAUUUUCGGGUGAUUUGUUACACAGUAAUAAAUAACUGAAACAACUA
Long non-coding RNA from Homo sapiens (human), 2441 nucleotides. Ensembl annotates it as long intergenic non-protein coding RNA 1370. Lineage: Eukaryota; Metazoa; Chordata; Mammalia; Primates; Hominidae. The record is from Ensembl.